CAGCAGUUAGGAGCUUACACCCACCCGUGUUUACAUACUAUUGUUGCUUUGGCGGGCCGUGGCCUCCACUGCGGGCUCUGCUCGUGUGUGCCCGCCAGAGGACCAAAUUCUGAAUGUUAGUGAUGUCUGAGUAUUAUCUAAUAGUUAAAACUUUCAACAACGGAUCUCUUGGUUCUGGCAUCGAUGAAGAACGCAGCGAAAUGCGAUAAGUAAUGUGAAUUGCAGAAUUCAGUGAAUCAUCGAAUCUUUGAACGCACAUUGCGCCCUGUGGUAUUCCGCAGGGCAUGCCUGUUCGAGCGUCAUUUAACCACUCAAGCCUAGCUUGGUAUUAGGGCACGCGGUUUCGCAGCCCUCAAAAUCAGUGGCGGCGCCGGUGGGCUCUAAGCGUAGUACAUACUCCCGCUAUAGAGUUUCCCCGGUAGCUCGCCAGAACUCCCAAUUUUUACAGGUUGACCUCGGAUCAGGUAGGGAUACCCGCUGAACUUAAGCA
This 490-nucleotide ribosomal RNA is filed under the name Phialocephala cf. fortinii. Its description in RNAcentral is "eukaryotic LSU rRNA". The stretch from base 149 to 302 matches the Rfam family "5.8S ribosomal RNA". Lineage: Eukaryota; Fungi; Ascomycota; Leotiomycetes; Helotiales; Mollisiaceae. The record is from RNAcentral.